RNAcentral lists this ribosomal RNA (477 nucleotides) under uncultured anaerobic ammonium-oxidizing bacterium. Its description in RNAcentral is "bacterial SSU rRNA". It matches the Rfam family "Bacterial small subunit ribosomal RNA", at positions 365 to 832 of the family's 1533-position model. The record is from RNAcentral.
UUCGCAAUGCCCGAAAGGGUGACGAAGCGACGCCGCGUGGGUGAAGAAGGCCUUCGGGUUGUAAAGCCCUGUCAGGAGUUAUGAAAUGUAAGUGCGCUAAUAUCGUGCUUAUUUGACAAAGGCUCCAAAGGAAGCCACGGCUAACUCUGUGCCAGCAGCCGCGGUAAUACAGAGGUGGCGAGCGUUGUUCGGAAUUAUUGGGCGUAAGGAGCACGUAGGUGGGUUUGCAAGUCAGAUGUGAAAGCCUUCUGUUCAACGGAAGAAUUGCAUCUGAAACUGCUAAUCUUGAGUAUAGGAGGGGAGAAUGGAACUUCUGGUGGAGCGGUGAAAUGCGUAGAUAUCAGAAGGAACGCCGGCGGCGAAAGCGAUUCUCUGGCCUAUUACUGACACUCAGUGUGCGAAAGCUAGGGGAGCAAACGGGAUUAGAUACCCCGGUAGUCCUAGCCGUAAACGAUGGGCACUAAGUAGAGGGGUUUU